RNAcentral lists this ribosomal RNA (119 nucleotides) under Pteropus alecto (black flying fox). Lineage: Eukaryota; Metazoa; Chordata; Mammalia; Chiroptera; Pteropodidae. The record is from RNAcentral.
AUCUACGACCAUGCCACCCUGAACAUGCCCGAUCUCAUCCGAUCUCAGAAGCUAAGCAGGGGCGGGCCUGGUUAUUAUUUGGAUGGGAGACCACCUAGGAAUAUCAGGUUCUGUAGGCU